RNAcentral lists this long non-coding RNA (285 nucleotides) under Glycine max (soybean). RNAcentral describes it as "long non-coding RNA (GMAX_LNC000089)". The record is from RNAcentral. Lineage: Eukaryota; Viridiplantae; Streptophyta; Magnoliopsida; Fabales; Fabaceae.
UUCUAGGUGCUUUAAACCCAAUCCCUUGUUGUUUGACACUCUAUCCGAACUUGUUUCGACAUGGUCCUUUAUAUCCCACUUGUGCAUAUGGAGCUUGUCCCCCUUUAUGAGUUAAGUCUUUAUAUCUUUCUCCCCCCUCUAGUCCCCUCAACCUCCCCUACCUUCAUCGUACCUUUCCCUUUAUCUUCAAACUUGUUGUCCAGAUUGUUACGACUUGGUCCAUUAUGCACCACUUGUGCAAAUGAAACUUGUCCCCCUUUAUGAGUCGUAUUAUUAUACCUAUCA